AAGCCAAGUUCACAUCAAUGAUUUGCAAUGAGACAAAACGGUUUUAGAAUGUUGCAGAGAAAAUUGCAGCAGUGUGAACUGGUUAGUUGCAGAGCGUCUGAAGCCGUUGCCUGGGGUCUCAAAAGACUUACCUUGUCAAAUCGCCAAGUGCAGUUUUAGAACAUAAUGACAUAGCUAUUUAUCUUCAGCCAAUCAGGACACAGCAGAGGACAAUGCUGGAAACAUGGCGGAUUUCUGUACAGAGGGGAGGGAAGACCAGCUCAUCCAACUUUUUGAAGAACAGCAUUCAUUUUACGAUUGUACCUAAAAAAAAAAAAGGUACUCCAAAAUAUUAAACAAAAAAAACACCCUUUCUUUGAUUGCAAGCAUCCUGGGUGUGUGGACAAACAAACACAGCAUACACUGUCAAGCAUGGAGCAGAAGGUGGCCAGGAUCAAGGUACACCCAAACUGUUACAAAGGUUGUCCCAAGACACAACGAUGAUGGCUGACCAAUGGAGACAUUGGGGGAGACUGAGGGGAGACUUGACAUCAAUAGACUAGAGUCAGGUCUCGUGAACCUCAAAGGGAGCGCUUGAAUUCACCUUUUGUUCGUCCCUAAACGAGACGCUGGGGAGACUGCGCCAAUCUAGUCCACAGAUCUCAAAGAGAGGGAGAGCCACGCUUGGAUUUAAGUAAUGCGGUGCUCCUUGUUGAACAAAUUCACCAUUGUGACUCGUUAGUCUGAUACUAUCCACAUACCUGCUUUUGGGGAAUGCAUGUGAAAAGGCGGUCUGCAGUCUCUGCCAAGAGGAGGGAUGGAGUGGUGAGGAAAAAGGAGGGGCUCUACUUAAUGGGUCACAAAUUCACAUUGAGAGGAGCCACAUCUGCAUUUUAUCAGCAGGGCCCAGAUAGUGUUACAGGGGACGAUUGUCUGCAGAUUGGCCAUUGGGCCUUUUAAAGUGGUAAAUUGUUGAGCAAAAGCAGAGCAGCACACAGGAUGACGUAGCAUGGUGCCGCCUGCCACUCAUGGAAGCUGUCAGACUAACAGCGUUGAAAAAGGUCUGACGAGUUUUGAGGAUGUAUUUGAAAUAUUCUAGUUGUUGUUUAACUAACACAUGAAUGUUUCAUUUCCUUAUUCUGUCUUUGCAAAAAAACGUGUUUGUGUGUGAGCAUGUCUGUUCAGUUAUAUGUACAUAGGGAUCAGAGCAACUCAGACUUCUAACCCUGAUUCAGGCAAUUUCAGCAGUCUCUAGUCCACAGUUCAAGCUAAUUUUCUUUUUAUUUACACUCCCCAACAUCAAAAGCAUCAGUGGUAAUUUGGCAGAAAGCCGUUAUCUGUCCAGACAUGGUCUCUUCCCAUGGCUGACCCAGAACAUCCUCUGACACAUCUUCUCCACAGGGAGCUGUGGACGUGGGGGCCAGCGUGGUCUGACAGCGAAACAAGUCCCGCGAGGCAUCCGAAUCCCCGCAGGGACCUCUUGUCUCUUCCCUCUGCUUCAUUACCAUCUUCCCCCUCUUUCUCCCCUUUCAUCUGCAGUCUAUCGCUGGCUCCAAGCCGCUCGCAUCCGGGAAUAUGGUGAAUAGGGGUGGGAGGCUACAGACGGAGCGGGAGCGGAUAUGGGAAAAGGCAGAAUAAACAUUACAAAGAAAGGGGAUUUUCAUUUCAGUUUUAAAGCCUGCUUUUUGACAAUGAAAAUUGACACAUAAAUAGAAAAGAGGCAAAUUUUGGCCGUGGGAUUAAAGACUUUUCCUCUCUAUUACAGCUCAGGUGGUUUUAAACAACAAAGAUUAUCAUUUUUCUUUUCUUUUUUAAUAUCCCCUACCAGUGACAGGGUCAACUGGAAACUGGACUUCAUCAUAUACAGAACCUGUAAUUACACAUGACAGACCAAUAGCAUUUUAGUGGAAUAACUGAAGUGCACAAAUAGAAAAAAUGUAUAAACAGGGAUAAAAGCACGAAGGGUAAAAUGUAUUAUAUCAGUCACAAGCACUACAGUGUGGAUGCUGCAGGAGUUGAUUUGCAGGUUUCUGAUGAUUAUUUAUUGCUCGUUAUAACUUCUGCACUUAAAUUUUGUGCAUAAAAAUGUUGCCAUUGAUCUUGUUUUUAUUGUUGCCACAUUUCUUUGCUCCGAAAGAGAUUUUGAUAGUUCCCUGUAUGACAACAUAACCCAGUCGAUAGAUAAAUCAGUGAGCCACAUUGCACAGUUCAGCAGAAUCCGCUGCACAAAAGAGACAAGGGAAAGUUAUUCCAUUUGUCUACAAAGCGGCGGAGGCCAAUAAAGAUGUUCUGACCAAAUCUCUUCACUUUAUCUUAAUUGUCUUGAGUUGAUGGGAGGGAGAGCCGUUCCACUUUAUGAUCACCUAUUUGCCCUCUAAUGGUGUUUAUAAAAAGGAUGGGAAUAAACAAAUUAGGGGAGAUGGACAGGAUAAGGUGCAC
Thunnus maccoyii (southern bluefin tuna) is the source of this 2418-nucleotide long non-coding RNA. RefSeq lists it as uncharacterized. Lineage: Eukaryota; Metazoa; Chordata; Actinopteri; Scombriformes; Scombridae. The record is from RefSeq and is a predicted model, not a curated record. The transcript has 3 exons.